RNAcentral lists this ribosomal RNA (358 nucleotides) under uncultured bacterium. RNAcentral describes it as "bacterial SSU rRNA". It matches the Rfam family "Bacterial small subunit ribosomal RNA", at positions 30 to 371 of the family's 1533-position model. The record is from RNAcentral.
AGUGAACGCUGGCGGCAGGCCUAACACGUGCAAGUCGAGCGGCAGCGGGUUCCCGCGAGGGGAUGCCGGCGAGCGGCGGACGGGUGAGGAACACAUCGGAAUCUGCCUGGUUGUGGGGGAUAACGUAGGGAAACUUACGCUAAUACCGCAUGUGACCCUGAGUCGACGGACUGGGGGUGAAAGUGAGGGACCUUCGGGCCUCACGCGACCAGAUGAGUCGAUGUCGGAUUAGCAGUUGGCGGGGUAACGGCCCGCCAAGGCGACGAUCCGUAGCUGGUCUGAGAGGAUGAUCAGCCACACUGGGACUGAGACACGGCCCAGACUCCUACGGGAGGCAGCAGUGGGGAAUCUUGGACAA